GACGAACGCUGGCGGCGUGCUUAACACAUGCAAGUCGAACGAAGAGCGAUGGAAGCUUGCUUCUAUCAAUCUUAGUGGCGAACGGGUGAGUAACGCGUAAUCAACCUGCCCUUCAGAGGGGGACAACAGUUGGAAACGACUGCUAAUACCGCAUACGAUCUAAUCUCGGCAUCGAGGAUAGAUGAAAGGUGGCCUCUACAUGUAAGCUAUCACUGAAGGAGGGGAUUGCGUCUGAUUAGCUAGUUGGAGGGGUAACGGCCCACCAAGGCGAUGAUCAGUAGCCGGUCUGAGAGGAUGAACGGCCACAUUGGGACUGAGACACGGCCCAGACUCCUACGGGAGGCAGCAGUGGGGAAUCUUCCGCAAUGGACGAAAGUCUGACGGAGCAACGCCGCGUGAGUGAUGACGGCCUUCGGGUUGUAAAGCUCUGUUAAUCGGGACGAAAGGCCUUCUUGCGAACAGUUAGAAGGAUUGACGGUACCGGAAUAGAAGCC
This 494-nucleotide ribosomal RNA is filed under the name Veillonella parvula. RNAcentral's name for it is "bacterial SSU rRNA". It matches the Rfam family "Bacterial small subunit ribosomal RNA", at positions 28 to 492 of the family's 1533-position model. Lineage: Bacteria; Bacillati; Bacillota; Negativicutes; Veillonellales; Veillonellaceae. The record is from RNAcentral.